This 1198-nucleotide long non-coding RNA is filed under the name Brassica rapa (field mustard). Its description in RNAcentral is "long non-coding RNA (BRAP_LNC007520)". The record is from RNAcentral. Lineage: Eukaryota; Viridiplantae; Streptophyta; Magnoliopsida; Brassicales; Brassicaceae.
AGGUGUUCGCAAGGAAGAGGAUUAUCCUUACUCUAUGGAAGUAGGAACCUGCUAGACGCAAAAAAAAAUUAUGUUACAGCGAAAAAUGGAUUAAAUUGGUUUAUACUAAUUCUUUUUGUCUUAAAACAGGAUGAAUCUGAAAUGGUGACUAUCAGUGGGCAACAAGAUGUACCGAGAAAUGAUGAGAAAAGUCUCUUGAAGGCGUUGGCUCAUCACCUCUCAGUUUCGCUAUUGAUUCUUUUGGUAUAGAGUUCCAGUUCAUAGCGGUGAAAGAUGUUGGAAAUAUUGUGUUUUGGUAUAUGAAGGGUGUCUUUGAUGGGAGAUGCAGUGUCAAUUUGGACCAUGGUAUUGCUGCAGUUGUGUAUGGAUCAAGCAAGGGUUCAGAUCAUUGUUAAUUUUUUUGGUUGCAUCAGGACGAAGAGGAACACUUAUAAACUAGAGGCUCUCUGUGGAAUCAAUAAGAUGGCUUCUUUCCUCCACUAAAACAAAGUGAUAAUAUCAUUUUAUGUUAUCUGCAUUUCAUCACUAUCUUCGUAACAACAUAAAAUUGUUAUUUUAAUGAAUAGAAAUGUUGUAACAACUUUGAGCAUUAAUCAAAAAGAUGAUUGAAAAAAUGGAGAGCAUUAUUAAAAUGAAAAACUUUUUGGACAACAUUAAAAUGAACAUUGAUGCAGUAAAAUUUCUUUUAGUCAAAUAAAUAUAAUUUGGAAGCGAAACUAAGUUAAACAUAUCAUAACAUUUAUUCACAAUUUUAAUUACUCUUAAAAUAUAAAUCAAUAACUCACCGCAGUAAAAAAAUACAUAGCUAUAAGGUUAUAACAAUGACAGAGUUUUUUCUUUAAAAAAAAAUAAUAACAGAGAUUCCGGAAAAGAAAUAUGAAUAUAUAUCAUUAGUAAAAUAUAUCACUACAACGUUGAAGUAACUAAAAUAGACAUUGUGAGCCUAACCUUUUUAUGGUUUUAAGAGAAAAAAACAAUAUAAAGAUGCACAAUAGCUUUUUUAACCUGAAUCAUCGGCUUCUGUAACACUUCUCACACCAGCAUUUGCUCUACAAACAACUAUAAACGGUAGGUUUGCUGAAAGUAAAAUAAAACUAAAUUAUAAUGUGUGGUUAUUUAUCAUCAUUUUAAGUUUUCAACAAAGACAAUAUUUAAAACAUAGACAUGAAAAAGCACGAUGAAGAUAUAACCAUCAACA